This 1517-nucleotide ribosomal RNA is filed under the name metagenome. Its description in RNAcentral is "bacterial LSU rRNA". It matches the Rfam family "Bacterial large subunit ribosomal RNA", at positions 1381 to 2925 of the family's 2925-position model. The record is from RNAcentral.
AAGUCGGGGCCUAAGGCCAGGUCGAAAGACGUAACCGAUGGACAACAGGUUGAAAUUCCUGUACCUUAAGUAAACAGAACUGUGGGGACACGUGUGGAGAGCACAAGUCGGAAAUGGAAAAGCCGGUGCAAGCGAGGUAGGAGUACAGUAGGCAAAUCCGCUGUACAAUCCGAAGACGUGAUGCGGACCGAAUUAAGAGUAGGGAAGUGUGUGAGCCAUGCGUCAAGAAAAGCCGCUAUUGUUUUACUUAAGCCCGUACCGUAAACCGACACAGGUGGAUGAGGAGAGAAUCCUAAGGCCGGCGGGAGAAGCAUUGUUAAGGAACUCGGCAAAAUGACUCCGUAACUUCGGGAGAAGGAGUGCCAGCGAGAGCUGGCCGCAGAGAAUUGGCCCAAGCAACUGUUUAGCAAAAACACAGGUCUAUGCAAAACCGUAAGGCGAAGUAUAUGGGCUGACGCCUGCCCGGUGCUGGAAGGUUAAGAGGAGAGGUUAGCGGCAACGCGAAGCUUUGAAUUUAAGCCCCAGUAAACGGCGGCCGUAACUAUAACGGUCCUAAGGUAGCGAAAUUCCUUGUCGGGUAAGUUCCGACCCGCACGAAAGGCGUAAUGAUUUGGGCACUGUCUCAACAAUGCACCCGGUGAAAUUGAAAUACCAGUGAAGAUGCUGUUACCUGCGCCAGGACGGAAAGACCCCAUGGAGCUUUACUCCAGCUUGAUACUGGGAUUCGGUAUUGCAUGUACAGGAUAGGUGGGAGGCUAGGAAGUGAUAACGCCAGUUGUCACGGAGCCGCUGUUGGGAUACCACCCUUGCAGUAUUGGAUUUCUAACCAGCGACCAUGAACUGGUCGGGGGACAAUGUCAGGUGGGGAGUUUGACUGGGGCGGUCGCCUCCGAAAGGGUAUCGGAGGCGCUCAAAGGUUCCCUCAGAAUGGACGGAAACCAUUCGAAGAGUGCAAAGGCAGAAGGGAGCUUGACUGCGACACCGACGGGUGGAGCAGGUACGAAAGUAGGACUUAGUGAUCCGGUGGUAUAAAGUGGGAUUGCCAUCGCUCAACGGAUAAAAGCUACCCUGGGAUAACAGGCUUAUCACUCCCAAGAGUUCACAUCGACGGAGUGGUUUGGCACCUCGAUGUCGGCUCAUCGCAUCCUGGGGCUGAAGUAGGUCCCAAGGGUUGGGCUGUUCGCCCAUUAAAGCGGUACGCGAGCUGGGUUCAGAACGUCGUGAGACAGUUCGGUCCCUAUCCGGCGUGGGCGUAGGAUAUUUGAGAGGAGCUGUCCUUAGUACGAGAGGACCGGGAUGGACUGGCCGCUGGUGUAUCUGUUGCAUACCAAAUGCAUGGCAGAGUAGCCAAGCCGGGACGGGAUAAACGCUGAAGGCAUCUAAGCGUGAAGCCCCCCUCAAGAUGAGAUAUCCCUACGUAAGUAGUAAGACCCCUUGAAGACGACGAGGUAGAUAGGUCAGAGGUGGAAGUACAGUAAUGUAUGGAGCUGACUGAUACUAAUCGGUCGAGGGCAUGA